This is a non-coding RNA of Cinara cedri, 331 nucleotides long. NCBI's taxonomy places the organism in Eukaryota, Metazoa, Arthropoda, Insecta, Hemiptera, Aphididae. The record is from the annotation of a GenBank genome assembly.
GAUAAGGUGAUUAAAAUUGUUUUUAGUUUUAAAUCAAUUCUUUAAUUCUUAUUGGUUGUAAAAUAAUAUUAACCUUCGUAUAGGAAACAUAAUACUGAAACAACGUGUUGAAAUACGGUUAAAUUACGGUUAAUCGUCUGUUUGAGGUCAUGUUCGGAGUUAUGUCCUCCAGCGACGUAAGUUGAGAGCCCCUCAUAGGAGCUGGGGGUUGGAGAUUUACAGUUUAUAGGAGGAAAAAUGUGUAAACGUACUCAAACUACUACAUUUUGGGAAAACCCAUUACGUUUUGAAAAUGAAUAAUGAGUUUGAAUUUCCAUUAAACGCCACACUC